Molecule: ribosomal RNA, 215 nt
Filed under: Olea europaea subsp. europaea
Lineage: Eukaryota; Viridiplantae; Streptophyta; Magnoliopsida; Lamiales; Oleaceae
Description: LSU_rRNA_bacteria
Rfam family: Eukaryotic large subunit ribosomal RNA
Source: RNAcentral
GACAAGGGAAAUUCAGUUGUUUAAUUAAAAUAAAGCAUUGUAAUGGUCUCCGCGGAUGCUCACGAAAUGUGAUUUUUGCCCAGUGCUCUAAAUGUUAAAGUGAAGAAAUUCAACCAAGCGCGGGUAAACGACUAGAGUAACUAUAACUCUCUUAAGGUAGCUAAAUGCCUCGUCAUCUAAUUAGUGACGCACAUGACUAGAUUAACAAGAUUCCC